GCUACGUAACCAUUUAGUGCUACAACGCAAUCCUAUUAUACCUAGGCCAUCAUGUUUUGUAGCACGUGUAACUCAUUUCCCACGUGUCCAUUCCUUCACCUAUUCAUUCAUUCCAUGUUUUCUCCUCCUUUUUUUUUCCUCAACAAUCCCCUAUUUAUAAGCCCUUUCAAAUCUCUAAUUGUCCCAUGCACCAACCAAUAACCAAGUUCAUGGCUUCUUCUUUCUCUUCCCAUAAAAACACGUGAUCACUCUCCCAUUCUUGCUGCCAUUAUUCCCACUGCCAUGAAGAGAAACUGCUAUCUGGAUCUUCGUUUUCGCCCUUCCUCUGCUUCGUCACCCCAUCAUUCAAUAACUUUGUAGGAAUGAGCUGUUGAACAUGAACAAAAAAGUCUUGGCCAUUCCACAUGGUGGUGGUGGUCGCCACAUGCUUGAUGUCACAGAACUUCAGGCAAGGGUGAUAAUAUGGUUGGCAAGUCAAGAAAUGGAUGGUAGCAGCAGAGGAGCAGCUUCUGCCAUGUCGCUUUCGUUGCAGUCACAGCCGUUGCUAAUGCAUGCCCCCCAAGGUUUCUCAAUUAAGACUUCCCUACGGAAUUUCCUUCACAAGAGAAAGAAAAGGUCCCAAAAGUCACAUGCCCAUUAGCACUGCCUAUUCAUUUUUUUCACAUCGAUUUUUUAUC
Non-coding RNA from Vigna umbellata (rice bean), 677 nucleotides. Lineage: Eukaryota; Viridiplantae; Streptophyta; Magnoliopsida; Fabales; Fabaceae. The record is from RefSeq and is a predicted model, not a curated record.